RNAcentral lists this transfer RNA (76 nucleotides) under Candidatus Berkelbacteria bacterium. RNAcentral describes it as "tRNA-Arg". It matches the Rfam family "tRNA". From Rfam's summary of the family: Transfer RNA (tRNA) molecules are approximately 80 nucleotides in length. Lineage: Bacteria; Candidatus Berkelbacteria. The record is from RNAcentral.
GCCCCAGUAGCUCAAUGGAUAGAGCAGCACCCUUCUAAGGUGAAGGUUGCAGGUUCGACUCCUGCCUGGGGUACCA